CCCUUAGAUGUUCUGGGCCGCACGCGCGCUACACUGACGAAUGCAACGAGCUUAUAACCUUGGCCGAAAGGUCUGGGUAAUCUCCAAAUUUCGUCGUGAUGGGGAUAGAUUAUUGCAAUUAUUAAUCUUCAACGAGGAAUGCCUAGUAAGCGCAAGUCAUCAGCUUGCGUUGAUUACGUCCCUGCCCUUUGUACACACCGCCCGUCGCUCCUACCGAUUGAAUGGUCCGGUGAAGCGUUCGGACCGUCGGCUUUCUCGGUUUACCGGGUUAGCAGUACGGAAAGUCCAGUGAACCUUUUUGCUUAGAGGAAGGAGAAGUCGUAACA
RNAcentral lists this ribosomal RNA (326 nucleotides) under uncultured eukaryote. Its description in RNAcentral is "partial 18S ribosomal RNA". It matches the Rfam family "Eukaryotic small subunit ribosomal RNA", at positions 1470 to 1796 of the family's 1831-position model. The record is from RNAcentral.